UUCGAUGGUAGCUGUGCGCAGGGCGCCUUCGGGUGCGCCGGUUUCUUGGAUCCCCGGUCUACUAACCUGCGUACAGCUGCCACCCAU
Molecule: non-coding RNA, 87 nt
Filed under: Pseudomonas kilonensis
Lineage: Bacteria; Pseudomonadati; Pseudomonadota; Gammaproteobacteria; Pseudomonadales; Pseudomonadaceae
Source: RNAcentral